GGGCUCGCAGGCGGUUUCUUAAGUCUGAUGUGAAAGCCCCCGGCUCAACCGGGGAGGGUCAUUGGAAACUGGGAAACUUGAGUGCAGAAGAGGAGAGUGGAAUUCCACGUGUAGCGGUGAAAUGCGUAGAGAUGUGGAGGAACACCAGUGGCGAAGGCGACUCUCUGGUCUGUAUCUGACUCUGAGGCGCGAAAGCGUGGGGAGCGAACAAAAUU
Molecule: ribosomal RNA, 215 nt
Filed under: Bacillus pumilus
Lineage: Bacteria; Bacillati; Bacillota; Bacilli; Caryophanales; Bacillaceae
Description: partial 16S ribosomal RNA
Rfam family: Bacterial small subunit ribosomal RNA
Source: RNAcentral